Molecule: long non-coding RNA, 3520 nt
Filed under: Venturia canescens
Lineage: Eukaryota; Metazoa; Arthropoda; Insecta; Hymenoptera; Ichneumonidae
Description: uncharacterized LOC122409926
Source: RNAcentral
CGAUUUUAAUCGGCGCCUACGAUUGUGCCGACUCGAAUAAUAAGAUAACGAAACGGAUCGAAGGAGACGCGUAUUUCAGGUUCGGCUCAUUCACAUUUCACAUUAUUCAUGGAACCUCCGUCGCAGAUUCACCGGUUUGAACUGUUGAUUCAUAUAAACACGAAAUUGGUUGCUGCGAAUACUCGAUUUAUUGGCUUAAACGAAUGCAUGGCUUUCACUGCGAUGUAAACGAAUAUUGAUCGGGAGUCGAGAAAAAUUAUCGUCGAAUCGUCAAAAAAAAAUCCUUUUUUUCGAUUUGCUCGCUCGACAAAUAACUCAGUCGAAUCAACGAAUCGCUCUUCCCGGUGUUAAAUGAAAACGGAACACCCGCUACAUUCAGGUAUACGAAGACCCGAAAAUCUUGACGAUUAUAGGGGGUCACCGAGACUUCGCGGUGAUGCGUGGGUAAAGAUAUGGCGAUGUACAUUCAUUCCAAAGGAUUCACGAAACGCAGUUACCAAGAUGGAGAUUUUAAUGAUUUCGAACGGGAAAAAACCAAUCUCACAUGGGAGCCGACUGCUUCUUCUUCCUGCAUACUAUAUAACAUUAAGUUUCACGAUAUCGAUGCGCCUUUGCACGUGUCGGUUUAAUUUAUAACAUAAAAUGAGCCACCGGAGUUACCGUGUUGUGAACUGCGAAAAAAUAUAUAUCAAGAAAAAAUGAGUGUAAAUUUGAUAAAUUUCCGACUGCUAAAUGGAAAAUGAAUCGGAAAACUAAAUAGAUAGCUGCAGUGCGAAGGUAAAAAUAAGUAGUAUCAUAACCUCAAUUGCAAUAAUAACAAAACUGAGAAUAGCAGAUUUUUAGGAAUUCGUUAGUUUUUUAUAAACAAUAAAAUAUCGUAUUUAGUUAAUAAUUUUUUAAAUUUCAUGUUGAGAUGCUUCAAAUUUUUUAUAAUUGUGUAACAAAAAAUGUAUUUUUUUUUUAAUUCAUUGAAAAUGAAAAAUUAUUUGCUGUCUAUUAAAUCUUCUGUUAUAUUAAGAUUUUAUGUAUAAUCUGUUGCGUGACUGACUGACUGACUGACAGACAACGCACAGCCUAAACCACUGAAGUUAGGAUCGUGAAAUUUGUCACGAUUACUCCUCUCUCAACGUAGACGCUCACUAAGAACGGAUUUUGUUCGUUCUCUACCCAAAAAAAAAUUACCGCAAUUUUUUUUUUCAUUUUAUUUUUCAUUUUCUAUACCCGAUACACGAUUAUAUACACGAUUAAUUGAAAAAUCACACAACACACAUACACACACUCACACGCACGCACGCACGCACACACGCACACACAUCCAGACAUUCUUAUAGAUAUGAAUUUUCGACGUUUUGGGACAGUUUAAGCACAUUGCUAUUGAAAACUGGAAAAAUAAAAAUUUCACCAUCACAUAGCUUCCUGUAUGAGGAAGCAAAAGUAACGACUCCGCGUAAGCGGCGAGUUGGAAAUUUAGAAAUAAAUACACGUUUCAUGUAUGAUGGAUCUGUAAUUAUCGACGUAUCUCAGGAUUUUUUGAAUAUUCACAUUGAAUAGGGUUUUCGAAUGUGAAUUUUUUGAAGUUUUUCCAUAGCCAACUCGGUACUGAUCUUUUUUUGUCAAUCGAAGUCUGUAGUCUGUAGAUGUUUUUUGACAUAGCAAAUUUUGACAGAUCGUUUUCUGACGCUACCAUGUUUAAACGUGUCGAAACGUAAUAAGAAAAAGAAAGGACGUGUACGAAAAUAUAAAAGACGAAUAAUAAUCUUGAAUUUACGAUAGAAGUUUAUACGGAUAUCGUUGAAUUCGGAAUAUUUAGAAAUCGACAAAUUUAUUUACUGUCAUCAGAUCGACAAAUGUAUUUACUAUUUACGGUUUUGUGUACGCGAAGCGUACACAAAACCCCCAUUUCCGCACCUCGUAAUAUAAAAUUUCGUCUAACACGCGUAUGAAAAACUUUUUCGUCCUAGUGUUAUAAUGUACUAUUGUCGAUAUUUAUAUAAAUAAAAAUUUAUCGAAACGAGUAAAGACAAAGCAAGGACGUGUACUGAAAUAAAAGAGACGAAUAACCCUCUGGAAUUUACUACACGACUUCAUACGGAAAUCACUGAAUUCGGAAUAAUUAGACAUCGACAAAUUUAUUUACUCUGAUCACGGAAACGAUACAGGUAUUUCUUAAUUAUUACUAUUUUAUAACUAUAAACGUUUCAAAACGUGUCAAUACAAAGCCAGGACGUGUACGUAAAUAAAAGAGACGAAUAAUCCUAUUGAAUUCGUUACACGACUUUAGACUGAUAUAAUUGAAUUCGCUAUAUUUAACAACAAGUAACAGAGAAAAAAAACUUAUGCUCAUUUACAACGACUCUCACAAAAAAAUGGUUGAAGAAAGUUUGUCUAUCGACGGAGAAAAUAUUCCCCAAACUGUUGUUUCCAUUGAAGGAGACGGAGCCUGCUUUUUUAGAGCUUUAUCUUUUUUGAUGUGGAAACACAGGCAAUAGCUGUAAACGGAUUGUUAUGUAUUUUGUAGACAACUGGAUAGAAUUUUCUAUUAUGUCAUGCGAUGGAAGGGAAGAUAACUAUUCCACAUCAAAUGAUUAUCAAAAUCAAAUGAUACGAACUUCAACAUUCGGAGGUUUGUGUGAGUUCGAAGCCGCGGGGCGAAUAUAUCCGUAUGUUUUCGAAGUCUAUCGAAAUGGCAGGCUUUACAUAAGAACAGGAACUGAGGGUCGACCUGUAAAACGACUGAGAUUUGUAGGAAAUCUUUCCAGUGAUCAUUUUGAUGCUUAUUCUCCACAAUGUGAGGACCCACUUCAGCAAAUUGCAACUUUAAAUAUGACAAAAAUUAUUAUUACCAAAAAACGAGGACUAACAGAUGCCUAUAUCUCCGAAACCUGAAACUGAGUUCAUGUAUUCAUCUUCAUCUAACCAAGAUGCAGACAAUGUUUUACCAAUUCAAACUAAUAAGAGAAUUAAAAAACGCAGGGCUCGAUACACAAAUAACAUCAGGAAAAAACAAAUAAAGACAUCUUCGAAAAAAAACCCAACUGCGCAUCAACAAGCAGGCACUAAAUUUCAAAAACUACAUCCUGAAGUACACAGGCAAGCGACCGAUGAUUAUCAAACUACAAUUUUUUUCGCUCUGUAUUAGAUUUCGUAGAGUUCUUUAUGAAUCUAUCUUUCGUAGAGAGUUAACUUAAAAGGAAAUGAAUGAUAGAUUAAAUUUUAUAUUGUAAAACGCGCGCGAAAGCUAUGUAAAGAAAUGUAAACGCAUACCUAUACACAGUAUCACAUAGGUCAUAUGGAAAUCUGUGUUGGAUACUAUUGUGUGCCCAGCGAAGUGGGCAUACCUUGGCUAGUUUCUUAUAAAACGUUGAUAGAUCAAAGUGGAUUUCCAAACCAUAUGAUUAUAUUUGUAAUGAUUAUUUUAUCAGAGGCAAAAAAUCCGAAGAGGAGUCAAGUCCUAGCUAUGUUCUGACCAUAUUCCCUCCAAUCUAAAAAUCUUCAAAAGUUAAUCUUCAGUUCUAAGCAA